AUGUCCCGUUAUCGAGGACCUCGUUUAAAAAAAAUACGCCGUCUGGGAGCUUUACCAGGACUCACUAGAAAAACACCUAAAUCCGGAAGUAAUCUUAAAAAAAAAUUCAAUUCUGGGAAAAAGGAGCAAUAUCGUAUUCGUCUUCAAGAAAAACAGAAAUUGCGUUUUCAUUAUGGUCUGACAGAACGACAAUUACUUAGAUAUGUACAUAUCGCUGGAAAAGCAAAAAGGUCAACAGGCCAGGUUUUACUACAAUUACUUGAAAUGCGUUUGGAUAAUAUCCUUUUUCGAUUGGGUAUGGCUUCAACCAUUCCUGGGGCCCGCCAAUUAGUCAACCAUAGACAUAUUUUAGUUAAU
This 357-nucleotide ribosomal RNA is filed under the name Triticum aestivum (bread wheat). RNAcentral describes it as "partial small subunit ribosomal RNA". The record is from RNAcentral. Lineage: Eukaryota; Viridiplantae; Streptophyta; Magnoliopsida; Poales; Poaceae.